This 74-nucleotide transfer RNA is filed under the name Actinotignum schaalii. RNAcentral's name for it is "tRNA-Gly". It matches the Rfam family "tRNA". Rfam says of the family: Transfer RNA (tRNA) molecules are approximately 80 nucleotides in length. Their secondary structure includes four short double-helical elements and three loops (D, anti-codon, and T loops). Further hydrogen bonds mediate the characteristic L-shaped molecular structure. tRNAs have two regions of fundamental functional importance: the anti-codon, which is responsible for specific mRNA codon recognition, and the 3' end, to which the tRNAs corresponding amino acid is attached (by aminoacyl-tRNA synthetases). tRNAs cope with the degeneracy of the genetic code in two manners: having more than one tRNA (with a specific anti-codon) for a particular amino acid; and 'wobble' base-pairing, i.e. permitting non-standard base-pairing at the 3rd anti-codon position. Lineage: Bacteria; Bacillati; Actinomycetota; Actinomycetes; Actinomycetales; Actinomycetaceae. The record is from RNAcentral.
GCGAGUGUAGUUUAGUGGUAAAACCUCAGCCUUCCAAGCUGAUGAUGGGAGUUCGAUUCUCCUCACUCGCUCCG